GUUAUAAAUGACCCUGUCUCCUUUGUUCAGUGUACUUUUGUGGCAAAACUGCUGGCGAGUGUACCCUUUCUGCGGAAAGUAAAAAUGGCCUUGCUGAGGAAGUUAAAAUUUAUGUUCAAGUGCUAUUUCUUUACAGCACUGGGGAAGAAGCAUUUCUAACAGGAGCCUGCAUGCUGAGGAUGGCAGAGGAAAAAGAGCCACACUGAGCCCUUGGAGAUGCCACUGAGGAGCUACGCUAACCAAUCCUGGAGGCACCAUAACCUAGGACUUCUUAUUAUACAAGGAUGCUAGAGAGCAGUCUUCAGCCUGAGACCCAUCUCUAGCUUCUAACAACUCAGUAUAUUCCUAUGAACAAAAUUUGGAGCAUAUUUGUUUCUCUCUACCUGAUUUCUUCAGACUGUGGAAACUAUUUGAAUCAAACUUGACUUAUGGAUCCAAUAAAGCCCUUGGAAAAACUGGCCUCAUAUUUUGUGUACACAGUCCCUGUACAGGGUUUCUGAC
Long non-coding RNA from Gorilla gorilla gorilla (western lowland gorilla), 501 nucleotides. RefSeq lists it as uncharacterized. NCBI's taxonomy places the organism in Eukaryota, Metazoa, Chordata, Mammalia, Primates, Hominidae. The record is from RefSeq and is a predicted model, not a curated record. The transcript has 4 exons.